Molecule: RNase P RNA, 337 nt
Filed under: bovine gut metagenome
Description: Bacterial RNase P class A
Rfam family: Bacterial RNase P class A
About the family: Ribonuclease P (RNase P) is a ubiquitous endoribonuclease, found in archaea, bacteria and eukarya as well as chloroplasts and mitochondria.
Source: RNAcentral
ACAGAUGAUCGCGCCUAUUAAUGCCGAAAGGCUUUAGGUGAGGAAAGUCCGAGCUUCAUAGGGCAGGAUGCCGGAUAACGUCCGGUGGAGGCGACUCCAAGGCUAGUGCAACAGAAAUAAACCGCACAUUUAUGUGUAAGGGUGGAAAGGCGAGGUAAGAGCUCCCCGCGUAUUUGGUAACAAAUACGGCUAUGUAAACCCCAUCCGAAGCAAGACCGAAUAGAAAAGCUAUGUGGUGGCCCGUCACGCUUUCGGGUAGGUCGCUUGAGCCUGGUGGUAACAUCAGGACCAGAUAGAUGAUCAUCUAAUACAGAACUCGGCUUAUAGUGUUACUCGU